Non-coding RNA from Streptomyces variegatus, 75 nucleotides. NCBI's taxonomy places the organism in Bacteria, Bacillati, Actinomycetota, Actinomycetes, Kitasatosporales, Streptomycetaceae. The record is from Rfam.
CUUGAUGGAGCCCAGCCACAGCGGGCGGCCCUCGGGCCGGUCCUGACCGUAGGUGGCGAGGAGCGCCUGUGCCUC